UAUCCGUACAAGGGCAAAAGUUCAAACUAUUGGGACUUGAUUUCAAUCAGCCCCUGAACUUGGAUCCCAUAACAAUAUCAUUCUAGAUAAAAUCACUCUUACUUGAGAUCAGAGGUUUCUCAGAUAACUAGCAUACGUAAACCAUAAGUGGUGGCAACAUCAGCAACAGUCACCACCUUCUUCUUCUUAUUCUUCUUGAACUUGGAUCCCAUAACAAUAUCAUUCUAGAUAAAAUCACUCUUACUUGAGAUCAGAGGUUUCUCAGAUAACUAGCAUACGUAAACCAUAAGUGGUGGCAACAUCAGCAACAGUCACCACCUUCUUCUUCUUAUUCUUCUUCUACUUAUUCUCUUCUUCCUUCUCCAAACAACUGUCGUGCCACCUUUUU
Molecule: long non-coding RNA, 388 nt
Filed under: Manihot esculenta (cassava)
Lineage: Eukaryota; Viridiplantae; Streptophyta; Magnoliopsida; Malpighiales; Euphorbiaceae
Description: long non-coding RNA (MESC_LNC009023)
Source: RNAcentral